Molecule: ribosomal RNA, 660 nt
Filed under: uncultured bacterium
Lineage: Bacteria
Description: bacterial SSU rRNA
Rfam family: Bacterial small subunit ribosomal RNA
Source: RNAcentral
CAUGCAGUCGAGGGGCAGCACGGGGUAGCAAUACCCCGGUGGCGACCGGCGCACGGGUGAGUAACACGUGUGCAACCAACCCCGUACCGGGAGAUAACCCGCGGAAACGUGGACUAACACCCCAUAAUACCUUUCCCCCGCAUGGGGGGGAGUUUAAAACCCCGGUGGUACGGGACGGGCACGCGCGACAUUAGGUAGUUGGCGGGGUAACGGCCCACCAAGCCGACGAUGUCUAGGGGUUCUGAGAGGAAGGUCCCCCACACUGGAACUGAGACACGGUCCAGACUCCUACGGGAGGCAGCAGUGAGGAAUAUUGGUCAAUGGGCGAGAGCCUGAACCAGCCAAGUCGCGUGAGGGAAGAAUGGUCUAUGGCCUGUAAACCUCUUUUGUCAAGGAAGAAUAAGCGGCACGAGUGCCACCUUGCCAGUACUUGACGAAUAAGCAUCGGCUAACUCCGUGCCAGCAGCCGCGGUAAUACGGGGGAUGCGAGCGUUAUCCGGAUUUAUUGGGUUUAAAGGGCGCGUAGGCGGGACGGCAAGUCAGCGGUAAAAGACUGCAGCUAAACUGUAGCACGCCGUUGAAACUGUCGACCUGGAGACGAGACGAGGGAGGCGGAACAAGUGAAGUAGCGGUGAAAUGCAUAGAUAUCACUUGGAACCC